GACGAACGCUGGCGGCGUGCUUAACACAUGCAAGUCGAACGGACAGGCCCUGCUUUUGUGGGUUGCUCGAUUGCCGAACGGGUGAGUAUCACGUGUGUAACCUGCCCUUGUCUUUGGGAUAACUUCUGGAAACUGGGGCUAUUACCGGAUAGGAGCUCCUGCUGCAUGGUGGGGGUUGGAAAGUUUCGGCGGUUUGGGCUGGACUCGCAGCUUAUCCGCUUGUUGGUCGGGUAGUGGCUUACCAAGGUUUUGACGGGUAGCCGGCCUGAGAGGUGGACCGGCGACAUUGGGACUGAGGUACGGCCCAGACUCCUACGGGAGGCAGCAGUGGGGAAUAUUGCACAAUGGGCGGAAGCGUGAGACGGCAGCGCCGCGUGCGGAAUGACGGCCUUCGGGUUGUAAACCGCUUUCGCCUGUGACGAAGCGUGAGUGACGGUAAUGGGUAAAGAAGCACCGGCUAACUACGUG
Molecule: ribosomal RNA, 468 nt
Filed under: uncultured bacterium
Lineage: Bacteria
Description: partial 16S ribosomal RNA
Rfam family: Bacterial small subunit ribosomal RNA
Source: RNAcentral